Pelmatolapia mariae (spotted tilapia) is the source of this 403-nucleotide long non-coding RNA. RefSeq lists it as uncharacterized. The record is from RefSeq and is a predicted model, not a curated record. The transcript is spliced from 3 exons. Lineage: Eukaryota; Metazoa; Chordata; Actinopteri; Cichliformes; Cichlidae.
GGAAAAUGCCACCGGUUCCGGAUAUACCUGCAAACAGCUGAAUAUCGCAAGCAUACGAAGAUCGUUAAGGGCUCGGUUCGCUUGUAACGCAAAAUGAGGGGGCUCCAUCUCACCUGUAACCCCCAUCAUUCUCCUCCACCCAUCUUCCUCCGUGACAGAUGUGAUAUGCACCAACCCUCUGCAUAUCAUCCUUCACAACGUCCACGAAUCUUCUCUGAGCUGGUUCUUCUCAGAGCAGCAGGUCUGAAGAAGAGUUUCAUGAAAUGGCGCCAUCUAGUGGAAAUAUGUCAGUCCUACACUCGGCUUCGUCUAAUGAACUUGAACGCUCAUGGGUUUAGAAAAGUCUAUUUUUUGUUGUUGACGUAUAUAUUUUUAAUAUACUUACAAUGCAACAGUUCAUAUA